RNAcentral lists this ribosomal RNA (459 nucleotides) under uncultured bacterium. RNAcentral's name for it is "partial 16S ribosomal RNA". It matches the Rfam family "Bacterial small subunit ribosomal RNA", at positions 338 to 795 of the family's 1533-position model. The record is from RNAcentral.
CCUACGGGGGGCAGCAGUGAGGAAUAUUGGUCAAUGGGCGGAAGCCUGAACCAGCCAAGUAGCGUGCGGGAUGAAGGCCCUACGGGUCGUAAACCGCUUUUGCACGGGGAUAACACCCUCCACUUGUGGAGGUCUGCAGGUACCGUGCGAAUAAGGGCCGGCUAAUUCCGUGCCAGCAGCCGCGGUAAUACGGAAGGCCCGAGCGUUAUCCGGAUUCAUUGGGCUUAAAGGGAGCGUAGGCGGGCGUUCAAGUCAGCUGUAAAAUCGCGCGGCUCAACCGCGCCCCGCAGUUGAAACUGGUCGCAUUGAGUUCACAACAGGCAGGCGGAAUGCGUGGUGUUGCGGUGAAAUGCGUAGAUAGCACGAGGAACCCCGAUUGCGAAGGCAGCCUGCCGGGGUGCGACUGACGCUGAGGCUCGAAGGUGCGGGUAGCAAACAGGAUUAGAUACCCCUGUAGUC